This 1444-nucleotide ribosomal RNA is filed under the name uncultured organism. RNAcentral's name for it is "SSU rRNA". It matches the Rfam family "Bacterial small subunit ribosomal RNA". The record is from RNAcentral.
GCUAGCUACAGGCUUAACACAUGCAAGUCGAGGGGCAGCAUGGUCUUAGCUUGCUAAGGCCGAUGGCGACCGGCGCACGGGUGAGUAACACGUAUCCAACCUGCCGUCUACUCUUGGACAGCCUUCUGAAAGGAAGAUUAAUACAAGAUGGCAUCAUGAGUCCGCAUGUUCACAUGAUUAAAGGUAUUCCGGUAGACGAUGGGGAUGCGUUCCAUUAGAUAGUAGGCGGGGUAACGGCCCACCUAGUCUUCGAUGGAUAGGGGUUCUGAGAGGAAGGUCCCCCACAUUGGAACUGAGACACGGUCCAAACUCCUACGGGAGGCAGCAGUGAGGAAUAUUGGUCAAUGGGCGAGAGCCUGAACCAGCCAAGUAGCGUGAAGGAUGACUGCCCUAUGGGUUGUAAACUUCUUUUAUAAAGGAAUAAAGUCGGGUAUGGAUACCCGUUUGCAUGUACUUUAUGAAUAAGGAUCGGCUAACUCCGUGCCAGCAGCCGCGGUAAUACGGAGGAUCCGAGCGUUAUCCGGAUUUAUUGGGUUUAAAGGGAGCGUAGAUGGAUGUUUAAGUCAGUUGUGAAAGUUUGCGGCUCAACCGUAAAAUUGCAGUUGAUACUGGACAUCUUGAGUGCAGUUGAGGCAGGCGGAAUUCGUGGUGUAGCGGUGAAAUGCUUAGAUAUCACGAAGAACUCCGAUUGCGAAGGCAGCCUGCUAAGCUGCAACUGACAUUGAGGCUCGAAAGUGUGGGUAUCAAACAGGAUUAGAUACCCUGGUAGUCCACACGGUAAACGAUGAAUACUCGCUGUUUGCGAUAUACUGCAAGCGGCCAAGCGAAAGCGUUAAGUAUUCCACCUGGGGAGUACGCCGGCAACGGUGAAACUCAAAGGAAUUGACGGGGGCCCGCACAAGCGGAGGAACAUGUGGUUUAAUUCGAUGAUACGCGAGGAACCUUACCCGGGCUUAAAUUGCAGAUGAAUUACGGUGAAAGCCGUAAGCCGCAAGGCAUCUGUGAAGGUGCUGCAUGGUUGUCGUCAGCUCGUGCCGUGAGGUGUCGGCUUAAGUGCCAUAACGAGCGCAACCCUUGUUGUCAGUUACUAACAGGUUCCGCUGAGGACUCUGACAAGACUGCCAUCGUAAGAUGUGAGGAAGGUGGGGAUGACGUCAAAUCAGCACGGCCCUUACGUCCGGGGCUACACACGUGUUACAAUGGGGGGUACAGAGGGCCGCUACCACGCGAGUGGAUGCCAAUCCCCAAAACCUCUCUCAGUUCGGACUGGAGUCUGCAACCCGACUCCACGAAGCUGGAUUCGCUAGUAAUCGCGCAUCAGCCACGGCGCGGUGAAUACGUUCCCGGGCCUUGUACACACCGCCCGUCAAGCCAUGGGAGCCGGGGGUACCUGAAGUGCGUAACCGCGAGGAGCGCCCUAGGGUAAAACUGGUGACUGGGGCUA